Long non-coding RNA from Homo sapiens (human), 647 nucleotides. Lineage: Eukaryota; Metazoa; Chordata; Mammalia; Primates; Hominidae. The record is from Ensembl.
CUGCUUCCCUCGCCUUGCAGCCUUCCACAAACAGCCUGCGGCGUUCCUCGAAAUCCCGUAGUAAUCUGACCGGAAUCAUGGAGCUACCAUCCAGAUACUCGCGGAACAACAGCUGCCGGUUAAUUUCUAAGAAAGCGAGCUGCUGAUGGGGGUCUGGCGCGGAGGCCAGGCCCGGGACGCUGCUGGGGAUGGGCCCGGGCACAGGGCCCGGCAUCCGCGCCAUGGACCGCGCAGCUUCGGCCACUGGGCCUUCCCGAGCCUCCUGCACCCGAACCCCGCCGCCGACUGCCCCCCGCAGUACGUCGCUGACGCCACUCGCGGUGCCCACCUGUGGGACACUGCUAUCUCCGGGGAGCUCGGACAUCUCCAACAGCCCAGUCGGCUCCGCCAUAGUCCCAGCGUUUCUACGGAGACUGGAAUAACGGCACUGCACUGCUACUGGGUCUCGCCCUGUCGCCUAGGCUGGAGUGCAGUGGUGCGAUCUCGGUUACUGCUGCUUUGACCUCCCAGCCUCAAGCCAUCCUCCUGCCUCAGCCUCUGGAGUAACUGGAACUACAGUUCUCUUGGAGAGAUGGAGUUCUCCUACAUGUGACAUAUAUGCUUCAAAAAGCACAUUUGUGAUAUUCCACAGAAGACAAAAGAAAGGA